RNAcentral lists this ribosomal RNA (492 nucleotides) under uncultured bacterium. RNAcentral's name for it is "partial 16S ribosomal RNA". It matches the Rfam family "Bacterial small subunit ribosomal RNA", at positions 29 to 507 of the family's 1533-position model. The record is from RNAcentral.
AGUGAACGCUGGCGGUAGGCCUAACACAUGCAAGUCGAACGGCAGCACAGUAAGAGCUUGCUCUUACGGGUGGCGAGUGGCGGACGGGUGAGGAAUACAUCGGAAUCUACUUUUUCGUGGGGGAUAACGUAGGGAAACUUACGCUAAUACCGCAUACGACCUACGGGUGAAAGCAGGGGAUCUUCGGACCUUGCGCGAUUGAAUGAGCCGAUGUCGGAUUAGCUAGUUGGCGGGGUAAAGGCCCACCAAGGCGACGAUCCGUAGCUGGUCUGAGAGGAUGAUCAGCCACACUGGAACUGAGGCACGGUCCAGACCCCUACGGGAGGCAGCAGUGGGGAAUAUUGGACAAUGGGCGCAAGCCUGAUCCAGCCAUACCGCGUGGGUGAAGAAGGCCUUCGGGUUGUAAAGCCCUUUUGUUGGGAAAGAAAAGCAGCAGGUUAAUACCCCGCUGUUCUGACGGUACCCAAAGAAUAAGCACCGGCUAACUUCGUG